UAUAUGCAGUUUUAUUACAAUCAACACUGGAACAAUUGCAAAUAUUGCUAAACAAUACAUCCGUACGAAAUUGUUAAAUUUUUUGAUCUUUUUGCUUGUUUCCUCAUAUUCUUCACGAUUUUCAGUUGAAUGAACAACGAUCGGAUCAUAUAAAAAUGCGAGGAUUUCUUGCUUGUUAAACAACAGGUACAAAAGUUUCACGUAUAAAACCGAUGUUGUAAUUGACAUCUGUACUGAAAAAAUAGAUUCAUUCCGAUCAACACAUAGAAAAGCGUUAGUUGCGAAAAUUAUCGG
Molecule: long non-coding RNA, 294 nt
Organism: Bradysia coprophila
Lineage: Eukaryota; Metazoa; Arthropoda; Insecta; Diptera; Sciaridae
Source: RefSeq, a predicted model, not a curated record